AAAACGCUCUCUGACGAACAGAAACCUGAUAUUAAGGCGUAUAUGGCGGAUAAGCUGGCUAUAGGCAGCGAAGUCCAAAAGGUAGUCGUAACCCAUAUGCGUAAAUCAGGCAGGUAGACGAGGAAA
Molecule: non-coding RNA, 126 nt
Organism: Eubacterium nodatum ATCC 33099
Lineage: Bacteria; Bacillati; Bacillota; Clostridia; Peptostreptococcales; Anaerovoracaceae
Source: Rfam